UACUUUGUGCUACUGUCCAGUGAACGCACAGUGAGGACAGUACUGCAAAUGCCUGAUGAUUGCAUCAGCUAGAGCUCUACUUUAUCUUGGUGCAAUUUUUGGAAAA
This is a small nuclear RNA of Meriones unguiculatus (Mongolian gerbil), 106 nucleotides long. RefSeq annotates it as U4atac minor spliceosomal RNA. The transcript has a single exon. Lineage: Eukaryota; Metazoa; Chordata; Mammalia; Rodentia; Muridae. The record is from RefSeq and is a predicted model, not a curated record.